RNAcentral lists this unclassified non-coding RNA (335 nucleotides) under soil metagenome. RNAcentral describes it as "partial contains 5.8S ribosomal RNA, internal transcribed spacer 2, and large subunit ribosomal RNA". The stretch from base 1 to 120 matches the Rfam family "5.8S ribosomal RNA", at positions 35 to 154 of the family's 154-position model. The record is from RNAcentral.
GAUGAAGAACGCAGCGAAAUGCGAUAAGUAAUGUGAAUUGCAGAAUUCAGUGAAUCAUCGAAUCUUUGAACGCACAUUGCGCCCGCCAGUAUUCUGGCGGGCAUGCCUGUUCGAGCGUCAUUUCAACCAUCAAGCCCCCGGCUUGUGUUGGGGACCUGCGGCUGCCGCAGGCCCUGAAAACCAGUGGCGGGCUCGCUAGUCACUCCGAGCGUAGUAAUACAUCUCGCUCAGGGCGUGCUGCGGGUUCCGGCCGUUAAAAAGCCUUAUUUACCCAAGGUUGACCUCGCAUCAGGUAGGAAGACCCGCUGAACUUAAGCAUAUCAAUAAGCGGAGGA